Molecule: non-coding RNA, 559 nt
Filed under: Perkinsus marinus ATCC 50983
Lineage: Eukaryota; Perkinsozoa; Perkinsida; Perkinsidae
Description: Eukaryotic large subunit ribosomal RNA
Rfam family: Eukaryotic large subunit ribosomal RNA
Source: Rfam by way of RNAcentral
AGCGUUCAUAGCGACGUUGCUUUUUGAUCUUCGAUGUCGGCUCUUCCUAUCAUUGAGACGCAGAAGUCUCAAAGUGUCGGAUUGUUCACCCGCCAAUAGGGAACGUGAGCUGGGUUUAGACCGUCGUGAGACAGGUUAGUUUUACCCUACUGACAAAGUAGAUACUGCGACAGUAGUCGAAGUUAGUACGAGAGGAACACUUCGUCCAGAUACUUGGUUAAUGCCGUUGUCUGAAAAGACAGUACGGCGAAGCUACCAUCUGCUGGAUUACGGCUGAACGCCUCUAAGCCGGAAUCCAUGCUGGAUAAGCAGUGUUGUACACCGUGCUCAAUGCUACAAGAAAAAGGCUAGGUCAGGCUUCGGCCUGACCAAAAUUCAAGCUGCUAUACCUCUGGCUGCAUUGACUUGUGGUCAGAGUGUAUGGUGAUCAUAGCAAUUGCAAGUAUUGGGCUCGAUAAAUCCUUUGAAGACGACUUAAUUGCAUCCGGGUAUUGUAAGUGUUGAGAGUAGGCUUAGUCUUACGAUCCACUGAGAUUCAUCCCGUGUUGCGCCGAUUUGU